AACAGGAUUAGAUACCCUGGUAGUCCACGCCGUAAACGAUGUCGACUUGGAGGUUGUGCCCUUGAGGCGUGGCUUCCGGAGCUAACGCGUUAAGUCGACCGCCUGGGGAGUACGGCCGCAAGGUUAAAACUCAAAUGAAUUGACGGGGGCCCGCACAAGCGGUGGAGCAUGUGGUUUAAUUCGACGCAACGCGAAGAACCUUACCUGGUCUUGACAUCCACAGAACUUUCCAGAGAUGGAUUGGUGCCUUCGGGAACUGUGAGACAGGUGCUGCAUGGCUGUCGUCAGCUCGUGUUGUGAAAUGUUGGGUUAAGUCCCGCAACGAGCGCAACCCUUAUCCUUUGUUGCCAGCGGUCCGGCCGGGAACUCAAAGGAGACUGCCAGUGAUAAACUGGAGGAAGGUGGGGAUGACGUCAAGUCAUCAUGGCCCUUACGACCAGGGCUACGCACGUGCUACAAUGGCGCAUACAAAGAGAAGCGACCUCGCGAGAGCAAGCGGACCUCAUAAAGUGCGUCGUAGUCCGGAUUGGAGUCUGCAACUCGACUCCAUGAAGUCGGAAUCGCUAGUAAUCGUGGAUCAGAAUGCCACGGUGAAUACGUUCCCGGGCCUUGUACACACCGCCCGUCACACCAUGGGAGUGGGUUGCAAAAGAAGUAGGUAGCUUAACCUUCGGGAGGGCGCUUACCACUUUGUGAUUCAUGACUGGGGUGAAGUCGUAACAAGGUAACC
This 730-nucleotide ribosomal RNA is filed under the name uncultured bacterium. RNAcentral's name for it is "bacterial SSU rRNA". It matches the Rfam family "Bacterial small subunit ribosomal RNA", at positions 771 to 1501 of the family's 1533-position model. The record is from RNAcentral.